UUAAAUUGAAGAGUUUGAUCAUGGCUCAGAUUGAACGCUGGCGGCAGGCCUAACACAUGCAAGUCGAACGGUAACAGGAAGCAGCUUGCUGCUUUGCUGACGAGUGGCGGACGGGUGAGUAAUGUCUGGGAAACUGCCCGAUGGAGGGGGAUAACUACUGGAAACGGUGGCUAAUACCGCAUAACGUCGCAAGACCAAAGAGGGGGACCUUCGGGCCUCUUGCCAUCAGAUGUGCCCAGAUGGGAUUAGCUUGUUGGUGAGGUAACGGCUCACCAAGGCGACGAUCCCUAGCUGGUCUGAGAGGAUGACCAGCCACACUGGAACUGAGACACGGUCCAGACUCCUACGGGAGGCAGCAGUGGGGAAUAUUGCACAAUGGGCGCAAGCCUGAUGCAGCCAUGCCGCGUGUAUGAAGAAGGCCUU
RNAcentral lists this ribosomal RNA (423 nucleotides) under Salmonella enterica subsp. enterica serovar Schwarzengrund. RNAcentral's name for it is "bacterial SSU rRNA". It matches the Rfam family "Bacterial small subunit ribosomal RNA", at positions 1 to 418 of the family's 1533-position model. The record is from RNAcentral. Lineage: Bacteria; Pseudomonadati; Pseudomonadota; Gammaproteobacteria; Enterobacterales; Enterobacteriaceae.